AUGAACGCUGGCGGCGUGCCUAAUACAUGCAAGUCGAGCGAACAGACGAGGAGCUUGCUCCUCUGACGUUAGCGGCGGACGGGUGAGUAACACGUGGAUAACCUACCUAUAAGACUGGGAUAACUUCGGGAAACCGGGGCUAAUACCGGAUAACAUGUUGAACCGCAUGGUUCAACAGUGAAAGACGGUCUUGCUGUCACUUAUAGAUGGAUCCGCGCCGCAUUAGCUAGUUGGUAAGGUAACGGCUUACCAAGGCAACGAUGCGUAGCCGACCUGAGAGGGUGAUCGGCCACACUGGAACUGAGACACGGUCCAGACUCCUACGGGAGGCAGCAGUAGGGAAUCUUCCGCAAUGGGCGAAAGCCUGACGGAGCAACGCCGCGUGAGUGAAGAAGGUCUUCGGAUCGUAAAACUCUGUUAUUAGGGAAGAACAAAUGUGUAAGUAACUAUGCACGUCUUGACGGUACCUAAUCAGAAAGCCACGGCUAACUACGUG
This 496-nucleotide ribosomal RNA is filed under the name uncultured bacterium. Its description in RNAcentral is "partial 16S ribosomal RNA". It matches the Rfam family "Bacterial small subunit ribosomal RNA", at positions 29 to 507 of the family's 1533-position model. The record is from RNAcentral.